CCACGCGGCCUGCAGUCAGGUGGAGCAUCUGAAAACAGGUCGGCAGUGACAGACAUGUACAGUGAGUGGAGGUAACGCAGCUGUACACUACCAUUAUAAAACCCAGAGGAACGCUGUGGUUGGCUCCGCUGGAAGUCUCGUCUGCUGCCCGGGCAAUUGCUCUGUCCGCAACUGAAACUCACGUUUUAACUGGAGCGCCAACGCAAACCAGACUUAUCCUGCUGCUCGAGACUUCACCCGAUUGUGUUUCUCUGACUGUUUGUCUCAUUUUGCUGUAAUGCUUGUGAUAUUUUCUCCACUUUCUGAGAUCCCUGGUUACUGUGUUUGUGCAUUUUCUAGUUUGUGCUGUUCUUCUCUCAGUUUUUAAUUUAAAUAUUCGUACAUUGUGCCUCAAUACUUGGCUUGAAGUUAAUUAGCAUUCUCAAAACAAUAGAAGUAAAUCUUGAAGGUCA
Micropterus salmoides (largemouth bass) is the source of this 452-nucleotide long non-coding RNA. RefSeq lists it as uncharacterized. The record is from RefSeq and is a predicted model, not a curated record. The transcript has 2 exons. NCBI's taxonomy places the organism in Eukaryota, Metazoa, Chordata, Actinopteri, Centrarchiformes, Centrarchidae.